This 484-nucleotide ribosomal RNA is filed under the name uncultured bacterium. RNAcentral describes it as "partial 16S ribosomal RNA". It matches the Rfam family "Bacterial small subunit ribosomal RNA", at positions 30 to 507 of the family's 1533-position model. The record is from RNAcentral.
AUUGAACGCUCGCGGGAUGCUUUACACAUGCAAGUCGAACGGCAGCGUGGACUUCGGUCUGGCGGCGAGUGGCGAACGGGUGAGUAAUGUAUCGGAACGUGCCCAGUAGCGGGGGAUAACUACGCGAAAGCGUAGCUAAUACCGCAUACGCCCUACGGGGGAAAGCAGGGGAUCGUAAGACCUUGCACUAUUGGAGCGGCCGAUAUCGGAUUAGCUAGUUGGUGAGGUAACGGCUCACCAAGGCGACGAUCCGUAGCUGGUUUGGGAGGACGACCAGCCACACUGGGACUGAGACACGGCCCAGACUCCUACGGGAGGCAGCAGUGGGGAAUUUUGGACAAUGGGGGCAACCCUGAUCCAGCCAUCCCGCGUGUGCGAUGAAGGCCUUCGGGUUGUAAAGCACUUUUGGCAGGAAAGAAACGUCGCGGGCUAAUACCCCGUGGAACUGACGGUACCUGCAGAAUAAGCACCGGCUAACUACGUG